GAAGUGCGAUAAGCAAUGCGAAUUGCAGAAUUCCGCGAAUCAUCAGAUCUUUGAACGCAAAUGGCGCUGGAGGGAUAUCCUUCCAGCAUGUCUGUUUCAGUGUCUGAGAGGUUUCAUACUAAUCUUAAUGUGAUUGAAGGGUCGAUAUUGAUGAUGAUGAUGAUGUUGAGGUACUCGUACUUCUCUGUCUCUCUCAUUUUGUCAGCUCUUCUCUCAUGAAAGAUGCGUGAGUGGAUCUUUCGGUCCAAUGAAGUGGUCACAUCACUCGCAUGUGAUUUCAUUGGAGAAAUCACCGAAUUAUCCGAAUACUCACAGUAACUACCCAACAAAAAACCUUCCAUACCCUGCAUCUGAGAUAGGCAAGAUCACCCGCUGAACUUAA
Molecule: unclassified non-coding RNA, 382 nt
Filed under: uncultured fungus
Lineage: Eukaryota; Fungi
Description: sequence contains ITS1
Rfam family: 5.8S ribosomal RNA (bases 1-105)
Source: RNAcentral